CGUCGGUUCAAGUAUGGAAAAAGCUCCAGAACCCAUCGCAGACCAUCUGUAACUCCAAACGAUGUAGAAAAAGACAAAACUGAAGAGCCAGAUGAAGUAUCCACAGCAAAUGACUAAAUAUGGAAUAAAUGGCAUUUGUAAGCCCAAAGAUGAAACAUAACCUUGGAAACCAAUCCAACAGAAGACAACGAACUGUAACAUAUGAAAUCUGAACAAAUAUCCCAUGAAAGAGAGAAAAACUAUUCUGGAAAUGGGUCAUAAAUAUAUAAUAGAUGGAACAGGACCUACACUGAGUUCCAGGGAUACCACUUACAAUAAUGACUGGUAUCUGUCGACUCCACUUCCAACAUUUUCCAGAUCACCUGCAGUGCACUUUCUUCCACUGACUUCCUCAAUAAAUUUCAUAUUAUUCCUCAACUUGUUACAUGUAAUAAUUAAUCCUUAUCCCAACUACUGUCUCCCCACCAUUGCAUCUCUCUUCUACUUCAAACGUUGAAUCAAAAGGCACUGAUGCCUUAGUUGAUCUAUUUCCUCUUGAUGCUUCUGCAGUUUCUGAUAAUGCAUUACCAUGGUUAAUUUAUCGUAUCUUAGAAUUAAUUAUAGUCCCGUUGUACAUAUUUAGAAUCACUGCUUAAGCCACCCUUACUGUUACUAUAUGCAUUGCCUUUGGUGUUACUGGUCACCCCACAAUAAUUAAUCAUAUACCUGAUAUUGGUGUAAGUCAUUAAGCUACACCCUUUUUAACCUAAAUCUCUAACUGGCAUUUUAAUGUUGGCUUUACAAUAUUUUCAGAGGUACCCUUACACAAAAGUGUGCCUCUGAGUUGGUCUUAGCUCUUUACUGUUUUCCAUCUUCAUCAGCAAAUUUUCAUAUCAUGUUUUAUGUUGACAUUAUGGUUUUAUUACUCUCCAGUUCCUCUGUCCUCACUCAGCAACACCAUUGCCAAACACACUUUAAUUCACUCAUUAACACUGAAAACUCCUUGUAAUUUCUUUCAUGAUUUUUGGUACACAACAAAAAUCCUACACAUCCCCUACAUUUAUAAAAAUUACUGACAACAGCAAUGUAUCCAUUGAAUGCAUCUCCACCUUUAAAUAUCUUAGAUUCUGGCUGGACCAAGCCCUUAACUUAAAUAAAACUAGAAAUAAAAUAAAAUACUUAGUGUUUUGGACAUGGAAACGUUCUUCCUUUCUCUUAUUCCCUAAAAGAUGUACCAUAGGAAAUGGUAUUCUAUUUGUCCAAAUUUAAAAUGUUACACUUCUGAUUGGUGCUACCUCCAAUAGAAACACUAAAAAUAAAAUAUUCAGAUCCAUUUCUUUUUACCAUAGACACAAGCCUCAGUGGCUUCAAAUCUUAAAUGUGUAUCAGCCAAACAAAUAACUGAUGUUAUUGGGCUGUCAACUGUUUAAAAUAUGAUUGUCUUUUAUUGCCACUACUUUGGCUGCCAAACUGAUCUUGAGAAUAUAAAACUAUUACCCCAGACACAAAAGUCCCACAAAGGCGUCAAGGCACAAACUACAACUUUCCAGUUCUUAGGCAUAAACUCUGGGAAUCACUUGUUUCCUAAUUCAAAGACAUUAAUUCAUACUCUAAAUUCUGAUCACAGCUAAAAACGUAAUGUUUCAGAGAGGUUAAAUGAAAUUAGCAUACCUCAGGUCACAUACCCUAGCUAUGGGCUUCUUUCACCAUUUGUCUCAACCUGUACUCUUGCCUUUGGCCACUGACAGUCACACUUUAGUUUGUGCCAUUUAUGUUUUCCCUUAGUUCCCUACCAUACUCUUCCCCCUUUAUUUUUUUCUUUCUUUCUCCAUCUCUUUCUCUCAUACUGAGGAAAAAAGAUUAAAGAUAGAGAAAAGUAUAGGGCAUUUUGAAAAAAGCAUCAUAGUAAUUUCUAAGCUGAUAAUAAAUUUAAGCAUAUAUUUUGCAAUGUUUAAUGCAUUCAUUUGUCAUUUAAUCAGCUGAUUUUAAUUGCUUUCAUUUUAUAUCUCUUCAUUCAUGACAGCUGUUCCUCAUCUGUUAAAAAUUGAAGCAAAAAAGGAAUAUUCAAUAUGUUGUAUUCUGCAAACUAAUUCUCCUUAUUCUUAAAUAUGAUAUAAAUAAUUAAAUCUCUUCCGUGACUCCAUUCUUUGAACCCAUAUGAAUAUACAUUUCUGUUUCAUGUGUGGCAGAAAUCCCUUUCAAAUCCCCACUACAAUCAUUAACACAUUUAAACAAAAAGGUUCUACAGUGUCCAGGAAAGAAACUAAAGAUCAUGUCUGAGUGUUGGAAUUGGCUCAGAGGAUCAUGCAAUCACAAAAAAGGACAUGAUUAAAUGGAUUCUAAGAUUGUUACCAGCACUACCAGUCUAUCUGCAUAUUAUUUUUUGUUGUCUACUUUUAAGACCAUCAAUAAUGCUAAUCAGGCUAAGAUGUGAAAUAUUCAUGUGGGCAAACAAUUACAAAAUGUGCAAUGCAAGUAUCCAAGUAUGUGUUAAUUGUCGUGUAUCCAUACCUCUCAACUUUCCAGGUAUUUACAGAAUGUGCAGAUUUUUCCUUCAUGUUUUUCGUCCGUUCCUCAUAUAAUUGAUAAUGAUAGUCAUUUGAAUUUCAGACUUUAUAUCAAUCAGAAAAUACAUGCUUACACAAAACUUUUUACUUUAGCAAUGUUCUAAGUUUAUGAGUAAUGUUUAAUGUUUCCCUAUUUUUGGGCCUUUGUUCCGAACCCCUUAUUUUUGGCUUUGUCCAGAUUUCUUGUGUUAAGCGGUUGAGAGGCAUACAUGUAUCUUUUCCACACAGACAUAAGAAGAAGGAAUUAACUAUACAGGAGAAAGAAAACAAAUAGAAAACUAUUAUUUUUGAUUACGUUGAAAAGUACUAACAUUCUGAAUAAAACUGGAUUUGAAUCAC
Molecule: long non-coding RNA, 2885 nt
Organism: Protopterus annectens (West African lungfish)
Lineage: Eukaryota; Metazoa; Chordata; Ceratodontiformes; Protopteridae
Exons: 2
Source: RefSeq, a predicted model, not a curated record